RNAcentral lists this ribosomal RNA (253 nucleotides) under uncultured bacterium. Its description in RNAcentral is "partial 16S ribosomal RNA". It matches the Rfam family "Bacterial small subunit ribosomal RNA", at positions 524 to 776 of the family's 1533-position model. The record is from RNAcentral.
UACGUAGGCAGCAAGCGUUGUUCGGAAUUACUGGGCGUAAAGAGUGUGUAGGCGGUGCUCUAAGUCUGUCGUGAAAUCUCCCGGCUUAACUGGGAGGGUGCGGCGGAAACUGGAAUGCUAGAGGGUGGGAGAGGAAAGCGGAAUUCCUGGUGUAGCGGUGAAAUGCGCAGAUAUCAGGAGGAACACCAAUGGCGAAGGCAGCUCGCUGGGACGGUACUGACGCUGAGACGCGAAAGCGUGGGGAGCAAACAGG